AACGAACGCUGGCGGCAUGCCUAACACAUGCAAGUCGAACGAGACCUUCGGGUCUAGUGGCGCACGGGUGCGUAACGCGUGGGAACCUGCCCUUAGGUUCGGAAUAACUCCCCGAAAGGGGUGCUAAUACCGGAUAAUGUCUUCGGACCAAAGAUUUAUCGCCUUUGGAUGGGCCCGCGUUGGAUUAGCUAGUUGGUAGGGUAAAAGCCUACCAAGGCGACGAUCCAUAGCUGGUCUGAGAGGAUGAUCAGCCACACUGGGACUGAGACACGGCCCAGACUCCUACGGGAGGCAGCAGUGGGGAAUAUUGGACAACGGGGGAAAGGCUGAACCAGCAAUGCUGCGUGAGUGAUGAUGUUCUUAGGGUUGUAAAGCUCUUUUACCCGGGAUGGUAAUGACAGUACCGGGAGAAUAAGCACCGGCUAACUCCGUG
This 433-nucleotide ribosomal RNA is filed under the name uncultured bacterium. RNAcentral describes it as "partial 16S ribosomal RNA". It matches the Rfam family "Bacterial small subunit ribosomal RNA", at positions 29 to 507 of the family's 1533-position model. The record is from RNAcentral.